GAAUAUUGGACAAUGGGCGAAAGCCUGAUCCAGCAAUGCCGCGUGUGUGAAGAAGGCCUGCGGGUUGUAAAGCACUUUUGGCAGGGAAGAAAAGCUCAGGGUUAAUAACCCUGGGAAUUGACGUCACCUGCAGCAAAAGCACCGGCUAACUCUGUGCCAGCAGCCGCGGUAAUACAGAGGGUGCAAGCGUUAAUCGGAAUUACUGGGCGUAAAGCGCGCGUAGGCGGUUGGGUAAGUCGGUUGUGAAAUCCCCGGGCUUAACCUGGGAAUUGCAGUCGAUACUGCCCAGCUAGAGUGUGGAAGAGGGAAGCGGAAUUUCCGGUGUAGCGGUGAAAUGCGUAGAUAUCGGAAGGAACACCAGUGGCGAAGGCGGCUUCCUGGUCCAACACUGACGCUGAGGCGCGAAAGCGUGGGUAGCGAACAGG
This 425-nucleotide ribosomal RNA is filed under the name uncultured bacterium. RNAcentral describes it as "bacterial SSU rRNA". It matches the Rfam family "Bacterial small subunit ribosomal RNA", at positions 359 to 776 of the family's 1533-position model. The record is from RNAcentral.